UGGGGAAUAUUGCACAAUGGGCGCAAGCCUGAUGCAGCGACGCCGCGUGAGGGAUGGAGGCCUUCGGGUUGUAAACCUCUUUCGCCAGUGAAGCAGGCCAUCUUCUUUGUGGGGUGGUUGACGGUAGCUGGAUAAGAAGCGCCGGCUAACUACGUGCCAGCAGCCGCGGUAAUACGUAGGGCGCGAGCGUUGUCCGGAAUUAUUGGGCGUAAAGAGCUCGUAGGCGGCUGGUCGCGUCUGUCGUGAAAUCCCCUGGCUUAACUGGGGGCUUGCGGUGGGUACGGGCCGGCUUGAGUGCGGUCGGGGAGACUGGAAUUCCUGGUGUAGCGGUGGAAUGCGCAGAUAUCAGGAGGAACACCGGUGGCGAAGGCGGGUCUCUGGGCCGUUACUGACGCUGAGGAGCGAAAGCGUGGGGAGCGAACAGG
This 425-nucleotide ribosomal RNA is filed under the name bacterium. Its description in RNAcentral is "partial 16S ribosomal RNA". It matches the Rfam family "Bacterial small subunit ribosomal RNA", at positions 355 to 776 of the family's 1533-position model. The record is from RNAcentral.